UUGAAUUGAAGAGUUUGAUCAUGGCUCAGAUUGAACGCUGGCGGCAGGCUUAACACAUGCAAGUCGAACGGUAGCAGGAGAAAGCUUGCUUUCUUGCUGACGAGUGGCGGACGGGUGAGUAAUGCUUGGGAAUCUGGCUUAUGGAGGGGGAUAACGACGGGAAACUGUCGCUAAUACCGCGUAUUAUCGGAAGAUGAAAGUGCGGGACUGAGAGGCCGCAUGCCAUAGGAUGAGCCCAAGUGGGAUUAGGUAGUUGGUGGGGUAAAGGCCUACCAAGCCUGCGAUCUCUAGCUGGUCUGAGAGGAUGACCAGCCACACUGGAACUGAGACACGGUCCAGACUCCUACGGGAGGCAGCAGUGGGGAAUAUUGCGCAAUGGGGGGAACCCUGACGCAGCCAUGCCGCGUGAAUGAAGAAGGCCUUCGGGUUGUAAAGUUCUUUCGGUAUUGAGGAAGGUUGAUGUGUUAAUAGCACAUCAAAUUGACGUUAAAUACAGAAGAAGCACCGGCUAACUCCGUGCCAGCAGCCGCGGUAAUACGGAGGGUGCGAGCGUUAAUCGGAAUAACUGGGCGUAAAGGGCACGCAGGCGGUUAUUUAAGUGAGGUGUGAAAGCCCUGGGCUUAACCUAGGAAUUGCAUUUCAGACUGGGUAACUAGAGUACUUUAGGGAGGGGUAGAAUUCCACGUGUAGCGGUGAAAUGCGUAGAGAUGUGGAGGAAUACCGAAGGCGAAGGCAGCCCCUUGGGAAUGUACUGACGCUCAUGUGCGAAAGCGUGGGGAGCAAACAGGAUUAGAUACCCUGGUAGUCCACGCUGUAAACGCUGUCGAUUUGGGGGUUGGGGUUUAACUCUGGCGCCCGUAGCUAACGUGAUAAAUCGACCGCCUGGGGAGUACGGCCGCAAGGUUAAAACUCAAAUGAAUUGACGGGGGCCCGCACAAGCGGUGGAGCAUGUGGUUUAAUUCGAUGCAACGCGAAGAACCUUACCUACUCUUGACAUCCUAAGAAGAGCUCAGAGAUGAGCUUGUGCCUUCGGGAACUUAGAGACAGGUGCUGCAUGGCUGUCGUCAGCUCGUGUUGUGAAAUGUUGGGUUAAGUCCCGCAACGAGCGCAACCCUUAUCCUUUGUUGCCAGCGA
Molecule: ribosomal RNA, 1134 nt
Filed under: Haemophilus influenzae
Lineage: Bacteria; Pseudomonadati; Pseudomonadota; Gammaproteobacteria; Pasteurellales; Pasteurellaceae
Description: bacterial SSU rRNA
Rfam family: Bacterial small subunit ribosomal RNA
Source: RNAcentral